UUUCGGAUUAUUUUGUAUCGUUU
Molecule: small nuclear RNA, 23 nt
Filed under: Arabidopsis thaliana (thale cress)
Lineage: Eukaryota; Viridiplantae; Streptophyta; Magnoliopsida; Brassicales; Brassicaceae
Description: snRNA_10663
Source: RNAcentral